AUAAGCAAGAAUUUAAUUUUGGUUCCGAUUGAACGUUUUUCAGUAGUUUAAGACAUGCAAAUCGUUGUUUUCAACAUAUUAUUUAAAGUAAUAUUAGAAAAUAAGGUGUAGAGGUGAGUAUGUUAAAUAAGAUACCCUAUAGUCUUCAUAAAUAGGAGAUAUAUAAAUAAAGGAGAUACUUCUGCUAUAGGAUUCUAUUUAAUUUGAUUAGGUAGUUGGUGGGGUAAAGGCCUACCAAGCCGACGAUCGAAAGUCAAGUUUGAAAGAACCUCUGGCCACAUUGGGAAUGAAAUCUCCCAAGUAGUAUAACACUACCAGCAGUCAAGAAUAUUAGUCAAUGCUCGCAAGAGUGAACUAGCUAACUGAAAUCAUAGAGUUUCUUCAAACUCAUGAUGUCGUAAGGGAAAAUAAUGAUAAUACCUUACUAAUAGUGUCGUCCAAAUCUGGUGCCAGAAGACUCGGUAAGACCAGAGACGCAAACGUUAAUCAUCAUAAACAGGCGUAAAGGGUUUGUAGGCGGUUUCCAUAAGACUAUGAAUAAACAAAUAAAGUAGUCUAAUUGGAAGCUAGAAUCAAAAAGAGGUUAUAGUGUAUAACGCUUAGAGGAGGGCUGAUAUCUUUAGAUCCUAAGCAGAAUACUAAGGGCGAAGGCCACUUUCCAUUAAUGAUUGACGCUGAGAAACGAAGGUUAGGGUAAGAAAUAGGAUUAGAUACCCCGGUACUCCUUUCUGUAAACGAUGAAUGGUAGUCAUUAGUUUAAGUUAAACUAGAGGCGAAGUUAACACGAUAACCAUUCCGCCUUGUGAGUACUACUGCAAAGUAGAAAACAAAAAAAUUAGUCGGUCUCGAAGCAAACGGAGUGAAGCAUGUUAUUUAAUACGAUAAUCCGCGUAAAACCUUACCAGAACUUGUAUACAAACUUUUUUAAGGAGUGUUUUAAACUUUUAAAAUACUUAAGUACAGGUGUUGCAUGGCUGUCUUCAGUUCGUGUUGUUAAACAUUAGGUUAAUUCCACUAACGAACGAAAUCCCUGUUAUUAAUUUAUUCUUAAUAACUAAUGAAUCUGAUAGAGAUUCAGCGGGGGCUAAGACAAGUCGUUAUGGCCCUCAUGUUCUGGGCUAUAGACGUGCCACAAAUACUUUUACAAAGUGACGCAAUACUUCCACCAAGAAGUGGAGCUAAUCAUUAAAAAAAGUAAUUAAUAUUAAUAUUAGACGGAUUGUCUCCUGAAAUUCGGAGGCAUGAAGAAGGAAUUUCGAGUAAUCGUUGAUAAGUAGCGCAACGGUGAAGCUAAUUUCGUGAUGAACUAACUGUCUGUCGCUGGGAAGAAGCCUUUAGUGGAGGAAACUGGAGGUAGAUAAGUUUUUUCCUAGUUUAGUUUACGACUAAAGUUUUUUUAGCCUUUUAAAACAGCUAGGUUAAGCUUAUUGGCUUUAGUUAAUUCAUUGAGGUAACAUCUCAAAAGUCAUAGCAAGGUAGCUGUACUGGAAAGUGCAGCUGUAAAAUAAUUAAU
Molecule: ribosomal RNA, 1513 nt
Organism: Trametes pubescens
Lineage: Eukaryota; Fungi; Basidiomycota; Agaricomycetes; Polyporales; Polyporaceae
Rfam family: Bacterial small subunit ribosomal RNA
Source: Rfam